AGGCGAAUAACUCAAUUGGUUAGAGUUCUGUUCUUAUACAACAGCGGUUGUUGGUUCAAGUCCAACUUCGCCUACCA
RNAcentral lists this transfer RNA (77 nucleotides) under Caudoviricetes sp. RNAcentral's name for it is "tRNA-Ile". It matches the Rfam family "tRNA". From Rfam's summary of the family: Transfer RNA (tRNA) molecules are approximately 80 nucleotides in length. The record is from RNAcentral. Lineage: Duplodnaviria; Heunggongvirae; Uroviricota; Caudoviricetes.